Molecule: long non-coding RNA, 1216 nt
Organism: Cyprinus carpio (common carp)
Lineage: Eukaryota; Metazoa; Chordata; Actinopteri; Cypriniformes; Cyprinidae
Exons: 3
Source: RefSeq, a predicted model, not a curated record
AGAGCAUGCGGUUGCCCUCUGACGAGAUUGCCAUGGGACUGAAGAGGAGAAAUCCAGAGGCUAGGAGCAAUCUGAAGAGAGGUGAUGAAGGGAAAGAGGGAAAAAGAGAUGUGCAAGACAGCCUGAAAAGUGCAAACAGAGGAAGAGACAGUGCCACUCCUAUCCGGGACAGCUGCCACCAUGGGACAGAUGAGAACGACUGACAACGGAGUGAACUUCAGAGACACGACGGAAUGUCGCUUGAGAAAAUUAGCGCUGACUCAGCUCUUUUGGCCCAUCUAGAUGAGGAGCAGGACGUUACGGGCAUUUUAAUACUGACAAAUACAUACGUAAUGUGUGAUAGAUAGUGUACAGUCAGUUAGUUAUAAUGGCAAAAUAUUUUACAAUAAUGAUGACUGAUUGUACAUUAUGCCUCGUUACACAGUGACUCAGCAAAUACAUUUGCAGACAUUACAUGUUGAUUUUUUUUUUUUAAUAUUUUAUCAUUUACAAAAUACUAAAUAAUAGUCAUUUAUAUGUUAUAGCUGCACUGUAAAAAUCCCAUCCUUCACAUGAUGCAGCUGAUUGGAUUAUUUUCAUAUCAGCAGCCAAUGAGUUUGCUGCUCAAUAUUAAAACGCUAAUUCUUUUCCAUUUGUCUUUCUUUUCCUACCCUGGGAUGCCCAUCUCCAGCUAUCUAGAGAUUACACCAGCUCCAGUGUGGAUCCAGUCUCAUAGAAAGACUUCAGAUGACCCAACACCUUUGAAGAGAUGAUGCUGACCCCUGCAAGGACCCCAGAUGUCGCCAACUUGAAUCGAUUUUCACAGGCUGCAAAACAACACAAUUUAAUUAUUUUAAAGGGUGGGGAUUCUUUUCUAUUCCCACUGUACUUCCUUCGCCAGCUGAGGAAGUUUAACCUGCCACAGGAGCUGCUGAAACAGUUCUACUCAGCCAUCAUUUAGACUGUACUGUGCACUUCAAUAACUGUCUGGUUUGAUUCAGCUACAAAAUCAGACAUCAGAAGACUACAGAGAACGGUUCGGACUGAAAGGAUUAUUGGUGCUCCCCUGCCCACCCUUCAAGAAAUGUAUACAUCCAGAGUAAGGAUAAGGGUUCAGAAAAUCACUCUGGAUCCCUCACAUCCAAGUUACCCCAUCUUUGAACUUUUGCCAUCUGGCCAGCGCUUCAGAGCCGCAAAUACCAGGACAGUCAGGCACAAGAACAGUUUCUUCCCCCAG